GGGUGUGAGGGCGAUCUGGCUGUGACUUCGGCCACACCAUUGAUUGCCAGUGUUGAUUUGGCUGAUCUGGCUGGCUAGGCGGGUGUCCCCUUCCUCCCUCACUGCUCCAUGUGCGUCCCUCACGAAGCUGAGGAUGACCACCCCCAGUGGCAGAGGACUGUUUCCUUGGUCAAGGGAACCUGCUAGAACCUCCAAACAAGCUCUCAAGGUCCUGGUAGCAAAAAUAAACAAAUAAAUAAAACUAAGUAAACUGACGUGGGAAGGAAAUCACAAAAUGAUUCUCCCUU
Unclassified non-coding RNA from Fukomys damarensis (Damara mole-rat), 287 nucleotides. Its record names the gene 7SK. It matches the Rfam family "7SK RNA". From Rfam's summary of the family: 7SK was discovered as an abundant small nuclear RNA in the mid-70s but a possible function has only recently been suggested. Two independent studies have found that 7SK RNA binds the CDK9/cyclin T complex (known as elongation factor P-TEFb). Lineage: Eukaryota; Metazoa; Chordata; Mammalia; Rodentia; Bathyergidae. The record is from Ensembl.